This 379-nucleotide ribosomal RNA is filed under the name uncultured bacterium. RNAcentral's name for it is "bacterial SSU rRNA". It matches the Rfam family "Bacterial small subunit ribosomal RNA", at positions 521 to 896 of the family's 1533-position model. The record is from RNAcentral.
UAAUACGGGGGGAGCAAGCGUUGUUCGGAUUUACUGGGCGUAAAGGGCGCGUAGGCGGUCAGCACAAGUCAGUUGUGAAAUCUCCGAGCUUAACUCGGAAAGGUCAACUGAUACUGUGCGACUAGAGUGCAGAAGGGGCAACUGGAAUUCUCGGUGUAGCGGUGAAAUGCGUAGAUAUCGAGAGGAACACCUGCGGCGAAGGCGGGUUGCUGGGCUGACACUGACGCUGAGGCGCGAAAGCUAGGGGAGCGAACGGGAUUAGAUACCCCGGUAGUCCUAGCCUUAAACGAUGAAUGCUUGGUGUCUGGGGUUAUAAAGUCCCCGGGUGCCGUCGCUAACGCUUUAAGCAUUCCGCCUGGGGAGUACGGUCGCAAGACUG